UAGUAGUCGAAACAUUUGUAAAAUGUACACAUUUUUCAUAAACAUUACCAAAACAUUGUUAAACUGAUGUCAGAUGCAAUGUACAUCCCUUCCAAUGAUUCGUACAUUUUACUUCAUAGCAUGUGUAACCUUAAGUAUUUUCAUUUCUGUGUGCAACUGUGUGUGUGCAACCGCCUUUUCUCUAAUUCCCUAAAAUCGAAGAAAUCCAUAGCAAAGGUUUAACGCAGCCGGAAGCGUUUAGAUAAACUAAACAACAGAGGCCAAAAACGGCGGAUGUCACCGUGCACAGUUGAUUGAUGAUCCGAUUGUUGUUUGAUUUUUCUCCUUAUUCUAUUAUCCGCAGAUCGCAACCAACAGCAGCAAUGGACCGCCUUUCGAUCGAUUCGUUGUUCCAGGAAACGGUGGAUAUCAGUUGGGCCAAUCGUACCGUCAGCAGCGAGGAAACCAACACCAACCGUUUUACACUGAGCAAUCAACAGCUACCGAUUCGGACAACAUCGACUCGGAUGAGAAGCAGCAGCAACAGCGCAGAUUGUCGGUGUUAUUCCAGUCAUAUGCUGUCUGCAGCAAAAACUCCACUUGCUGAUGAACAAUAUGGUACGGCGAAAGUUUCACAAUAUCAAACACAUCGUCCCGACAGCAUUAAUUCUACAGCAGUACUUGGCGACGGCACCUAGCGAAAACCAUCACCAUCCCUACCACCGACUGCAGCCCACUAAUCCAAGGAUCGGAGGGAAAGCGAUUUCCUCCACAAAUCACGACUUCACGGAGCUCAACAACAGAAAAUCCGCGUCAGAGGAUGAUGGAGAGAGUCAGUUUGCGUGGUGAAUUUGCUUCCAGGCGCUUCGUUGCUGGAUCGGUACAUGCUGCCUCCGCGCGAAUUUGGAACGUCACAUCAAGCAGUAACAUCUUUAACUCUGGUCAUAUUGUUAGCGCGGAGGAAAUCGGCAAUCAAAAAUCCUCCAAAGGAAAGAAGUAGACAAAGGUAAAGAUCCAUUGGCGAAGGCGGUCAAUAGUGGCAAUAAUGAAGACGAUUUGGUGUCGGUAUCGAAACCGGUCGACAGCGCUACGAACCUUGGCUAUUCUGGAUAAAUUUCGUAAUUUGAUGUUUCGCUGUCACAAGAUAAAACGUCGAGCAGGUGCUGCUGACUUCCGGCUCGGCGUUCGAGAGUAACAACUCCGACACAGAGAUCCAAAUCCAUCGUCGACACGGCAGAAAAAAAAUCGUCUAAAGCCUAGCGCAAAACCGAGUCAAUUGCCCCUACUGGCAUAUUCUCCUCGGACAACAACAUCAACAUAGGAUCGGAAAACAAAGUCCUCUGCGAAGAUUGCGAUCUCGUCGAAGGUAUUGCCCGUGACAGAUUCCACCGCGAAGAAGUAUUUUUUCCGAUAUCGAACUCUAAGAGCCCCCGCAGACUGCAGACUGAUUUGUGGGCCGAUAGUUUGGUUGGCUUCUCAAUCAGUACGGAGAGGUAUGCAUGUGCGCACAAUACGCCGAUUCAGUUGGGUCGAUUUUUGCACCAGAAGGCCGACCCGACCAAACUGUUGGUUGACAGAAAGUCUGUAGUAUGCGGGGGCUCUAAGGGAGAGUUAUUGGAAAAACAUAAUCACAACCAAUGUGCAGCGGUUCUAAGCUAACAUGUGACUGAGUGGAGAAUUUCAUAUCAAAUUUAAAGAACAAGUACUAGCAAUUUUUAUCCACAAUGAUCAAUCCGCAUAUGACUAAACUGAGAGAUUUUUUCACUAUGCAGCUUCCAUUGGGAUUUCUAGUAAAAAUAAGUAUAUGCUCAAUUAUUUUUAAAAUAUUUAAGGGGCUUAAAAUGCAAGGGGUGUAAGUGACUUGGUCGAUUUCUCUUUAUCGACUUUCUCUUUUGAUCAUAGCUUAACUGCAAACAUAUUCCCAGCUUCUUCUGUAGGAGCAUUGAACCACUGCGACCAUUAGUUUGAUCUAUUGUGGUGCACUCCAGUUUACCAGCAGUUUACCAUAUUCCCAGCUUAUUUGACAAUGUGGACGAUAGGUCAGAACCUCAAUUAUCGGUUUCUAUAGCAAAAUCAAAUUGGAACGUUUUUGUGCGCUGAGUUGUUCACGAAAGAAAAAGUCGAUGAAGAGAAAUCGAUCAAAUCACUUACACCCCUUGCAUUCUAAGCCCCUCAUUUGGUACUGUGUUCCGCAACUCGUUCUAUUUUGUAAAAAUAACGCUGUUUCAUGUGUUGAACGCGGUUAUCAUAUUUGGCAACGUAUUCGAAUAAGAGACACUCGUGAUCAGUGUGAGCCACAUAUAAGAAAGCGAAGAGCUUACAACAUGCACUAUCAAGGGUUACAGUUUCGAUGUCCCGUUCGAGUACGUACGACGUGGUGUCAAUUUCCGGCGUCAAAUCAUCUUCGAAGAUGAGAUCGAAUUGAUGCAGUUUGCGAUCCAGCAAAAUUUCGCAAGUGUCCGAAAAAGCAUACUUUUGAGUGUUGCUAAAACCCUGCACGAAAAGCUUUUCAAUAUUUUAUAAAAAUAGGAAUAGAAUAAGAAUAUUAAUAAGAAUAAAAAUAUUUGAAAUAAAAAUUAUAUUGAACCAA
This is a long non-coding RNA of Toxorhynchites rutilus septentrionalis, 2569 nucleotides long. RefSeq lists it as uncharacterized. The transcript has 3 exons. NCBI's taxonomy places the organism in Eukaryota, Metazoa, Arthropoda, Insecta, Diptera, Culicidae. The record is from RefSeq and is a predicted model, not a curated record.